GGGCCGAUAGCUCAAUCGGUAGAGCAAAAGCCUUUUAAGCUUUUGGUUCUGGGUUCGAGUCCCAGUCGGCUCACUA
Molecule: transfer RNA, 76 nt
Filed under: Candidatus Levybacteria bacterium RIFCSPHIGHO2_01_FULL_36_15
Lineage: Bacteria; Candidatus Levyibacteriota
Also listed under: 1 other name
Description: tRNA-Lys
Rfam family: tRNA
About the family: Transfer RNA (tRNA) molecules are approximately 80 nucleotides in length. Their secondary structure includes four short double-helical elements and three loops (D, anti-codon, and T loops).
Source: RNAcentral